AGGGUUUUCUUAGAAGAUACAUUAGUCAAUGAUGUAAGGCGCAUCGCAGACUUAAGAGAGCACCGAACCACCAACUUAAAAGAUAUUCUGACCCUUAAACUGGAUGAAGUCAUUCGGCGUUAUGCCUGGCAGAAGCUGCUAGAGACAUCCACGGAACCCGUGAAAGACUUUCUGCUGAUGCAUCAGAACCGCAUCGCCA
Physella acuta is the source of this 199-nucleotide long non-coding RNA. RefSeq lists it as uncharacterized. The record is from RefSeq and is a predicted model, not a curated record. NCBI's taxonomy places the organism in Eukaryota, Metazoa, Mollusca, Gastropoda, Physidae.